This is a long non-coding RNA of Pangasianodon hypophthalmus (striped catfish), 12027 nucleotides long. RefSeq lists it as uncharacterized. The transcript is spliced from 3 exons. NCBI's taxonomy places the organism in Eukaryota, Metazoa, Chordata, Actinopteri, Siluriformes, Pangasiidae. The record is from RefSeq and is a predicted model, not a curated record.
AAAGAGUCAGUAUUCUUGUAAGAGCCUGUUUUUCUUUUUCAUUUACAGUGUUCCCUGGAUAUCCCGAGAACACUGUACGUAUGGUGGGAAUACACCCUGGAUGAGAUGCCAAGGCACACAUUCACACGGUUAUUCACAUCCAGGGGCAAUAUCAGUUAAAGGAAUAUCAGUCAUAAUUUAGCUUUUUUUAAAAAUUACAAUUAUUUUUUAAGAUUAUAAUAUCAAUAUUUUUAAUAUUAUAUAUUUAAGAUUGUUUAAUAUUACAAAACAUAAAGCAGCUAUGGGAGAACUUCAUUUUGAGCCACUGUCUGCACUGAAAUAUCAGAAAAAACAUCACACAUGCGGUGAGCUCUACAGCUUGUACACUGCUGAGAUGUUUCACACCAAACGGGUUGAGUUGGUUCGAGAGGCAAAUCAGUGGCAAACAGGUGCUCCAAAGACAAAUUAACAGUCCCAUCACUGUUCCUGAUAAAGAAAAACAUGCAGAAUAAUUUGCUGUACAAUGAGUGAUCUCCAAGAUAGUGCGUAAAAAAUUCUAAAAGAUUAAAAGCAGGCGCUUCUGGCUACAAGCUGACAAUGGAGCAUGUAUUCUGAUGAUUCGACAUCAUUGUGAAUAAUGGGUGAGCUGUGAGACGAGAAGCAUGCAUUAUAAUGCUCAAUUGUGAGACAAAAGGGCCAUUAAAAGGAACAGUCAUGUCUUUAGAGCUCAGAUAUUAUGUUAUAGUGGCACGUAUGAUUGCAGCUCCCAGCAGGCUGUAAAAAAGCACAUUAAUUUCGAGUUAGGAUAUGAAACCACUGGUAUAUCGCUCAGUGUAAGACAGAUGAUCAGAUGCCUUUAGGUAGUGAUACUGAUGACAUCCUAGCACUUAGUAUCAUCUGUAGGCAUGUAUUAUUUCCUGUAGUGCAGGUUAUGUUACUCUGAUGAAUAAGAAAGCAGAGAUUAUCAGUAAAGAAUGUAAAUAAACACUGUUUACAUGAAGUGUUGUUAGGUUGUGACAGAUUGCAUUGCUCUACCAGUACGUCUAAACAAAAUGAUUUUAUUUAAUCAUCACUUGAACUGUACAAAAACACAAACCAUAUCUUUUACAAAACUACCCAGCUGCUACGUGCUUCUGGAGACACCUAAUAGAAAGCUGUGCUACUUAGAGAUAGAGAAGAAAGAUUCAAACCCUGGAUUCCUGCUUCACUUCCCCUGUGUGUGCAACACAGUGUCUUUAGUAUUGUCAUCAUCAUUACAAGAUUUACUUACUGUUCUAUAAUAUAGAGCUUUUAUAACACAUUCAUAAGCAGUGCAUAAAUAAGGAAUAAAACAGGAUUGGGUGGUGUGAUGCUUUUACCACCCUGAAGGGGAUUAUUUUCCUAGAACAGCACAACCCCAAUUUUUUUAUUCCUCUUACAGCACAGCAAUUUGCCAAUGAUUACAAUUUUUAAUUUAUCACGGAAUGCCAUCAUAAUUUUUAUCAGUUUAUAGCUACGUUGGAACAUCAGCACGUACGCUACACCAGCUAUAUAAAUAAACAGUCGUUUCCUCAUCAACCUCGUUUUUUCUCUAGCUUCAAGUUAAUAAAGCAAAAAAACUUAAAGGAACAGCUUUAUACUUCUGACUGUUAAAAAAAUCUGACACUGGAGACUCCUUCCAAAAUUUGCCUCAUCACAAGACACUUCACCUUAUCCACGAUUAUGCACAUUUAACAGAAAUCUGUUUAUGCAUUGUGUUCACCAUUUCAAGUAGCUGUGUAAGUUGUUAUUACAGAAACAAUAACAUAUUAGAACUAGUGCAUUAAUGAAAACCUGUGAUUUGCCUUACAGCCAGAACUACUGUCUGAGCUGCUGUUAUAGAAGGUUAAUCAACUUUCUGACCUUAUAUUUAAUGUACUACAAACAUAAAAGUAAAAAAUAAAUCUGGACACUUGAGAUACAUGUAAACAACGAGCUAGUGCAACCAGUUCACACAAUAUUGAUUCAUCGUCUUAUGUGCAGUUCAAGAGAGAGCAGAUGAAAAAAAGCCAGCCACCAUUUUGACUGGGUUCCCCACAGGGCCAUAGAAAGCAAUCACUCUCAACACCAAAGAGAAGGAGGCCUGUCAUGUCUGGCAUGAUGAGCACAAAGCCUGGCCGCAGCCUGAAGUGCCGCAGAGGCGUCCGGUCCGAGAGAGGCCUGGAAACAAACAGCCUCUCAACUAUCUGACACACACAGACAGCUCAAGCCAACCCCACGCACAAGACAGAUGUCAACCAGCCAUGACAUUCAUGACACAAAGUAUGAGUUGGGGAAAAAAAAAAGACUCAAUACUGAUGAAAGCAGUGGAGUUAUUUUUCAUGAUCAGAGUCUGUAGCAGAACUUGUUAUUUAGAUGUACUAGAUGUUAUAAAUCCUUUUAUCACAGCUUUUAUCUGGUGAGUUCAGCACAGCAAACUUGAACAAAAGCUCUAAGAAUCAACAAAAUAAAUCCACAGAGAGGACACAUUAUCUUUCAGUGCCCAAACAAAGAGCAAGCUGGAGAGCUGUCUGGAAGGCAGAUGACAAAGGCUCUCAGAUGUCUGGAAAUCCGAUGAGUUAUGACAGGAUAUGGUAAAGCUAUCUGAUGCACCGGCUGCGGAUUGCUUUACGGGGAGAAAAGGGCCAGCUCCCCUGUGCUUUUGGGCUGAGGUGUGAUGAAAGCAGGACGCGCCACUUAUCACAUUACCUUAUACAAGCUUGUUGAUUGAUGCUGCCAGCUGCUAAACACAAGGCUGCAAUGUUUAUUGUAUAACCAGUUACAUACUGCAUGUGCAUGCCAAUAUCAAUUCAAGGUCUGGUGAAUGAUGUUUUGUUCCAUGUCAUAAUUCAUGCUUGCGUCUGUGACUUCUUUUUAUUCAGCAGGAGAGAACAAGAAACCAUCAGGUCAGUGUUACUAAUUUCAGAGGCUGGAGUCUGGUCCUGUCUGAGCAAAAGCAUGUUCCCCUAUAACACCUGCUUCCGAGAGAAUGCUCUACCUCUCAUCCUCUCAUCUGUCAAUAGAGCAGCAGCCCUGCGCUCUCCAUGCUCCAGUCCAGUGUCCUGAGGUCACUGAUCAAAUGCAACACCCUGCACAUCCCACACUGAGAAAGCACAAUCCGGCACAAGACAAAAUCUGGGCUGCGUUUGAGGCAAAGGCAACACCAGCAUCAGAUAACAACACAGCGGAUACAAAGGCAACCUGGGGUAUCACUAGAGAAAACAAGAAAAACAAAGUGUCUGCGUAUUCUAUUACAGCUGCCAUGAGUUCACCUCAGGACUUUACAUCAGUCAGAAUUAAUUUUUUAGGAUGGCAUGAAGCUCAUGCCUGCUUAAUGUCUGCAUAUUACCACGGCUGAAUUAGUCCUAGUAAUGCCUUAAUCCCAGCUAUUAGCCAUGCCUGUAUUAUUCAAGAGCUAACAUUUAUAUGACUAAAAUCUGCCUUGCAGUUCAGGCCGAAUUAAAAUGUCGAAGGUUUAUGGCGCCUUGGACCCAUUUCAAGCACUUAAAUAUGUGACAACCUUAUUCAGUGCAGAGGAGCAAUGAAUCUGUCAGCUUCCUGCCCAGUGCCAGUUUCCCGAAGGUCAUAUACUGGAUAUUAAUAGCUAGCUAUGAAUGUCAGAGGUCAUGACCGGCAUCAGCACCUAUGUGGUGUGUAGUUAAUUAAAAAACAAGAUGAAGUCUAUUCCAUCACCGUACAAGAUAAAACCUUCCUGCUUACUGAUGCCCAGGAGCAGCAACACACACACACACACACACACACACACACACGGGUAAGGAGUAUUCUCCGUACAGCCUGGGUCUGGGGCUGCACAGCCUCAAGCAGAAUGAGCCAACACACAGCGGUGGCCAUUAUUUUAGUUAAUCAGCAAUGCAGCAGAAAUUCUGUCCUUCGUGAGGAAUGAAUGCAGUGUGAGUGUCACUUGACCUGGCUGACCUGCGGUUGACCCCAGAGCCAGCAGGAGGACUGUGUUGUGAUGGCUUCAUACCUCUCUCAUUUCACAUGCUGAAUAAAGAGAAUGGAGUUAAGCCCAGUGUGAAUUAGGAAUGCAGAAUGCCAACAUCAGAUAUAUCGCUGAAAGCUAUAGAUACCAGACAAAAAAUGACAGUACGCUAGUGGAAACAUUAAGGAAACUUCUAUGUGCAUCCAACAGAUAUGAAAGGACCUCUUUUGAUCAGGCUACAGACAGACAGGACAUUAAGCUUUAAUGAGGUGCUCUGGUCCAGUUAAUCUCCUGUGGCCCUGUCUGUUUGUUCUCAGGUGCAGAGAUGUCAAACUGAUAUGAAAGAUGCAGCACUCCGCUCCACCUCUGGGCGUACACCGGCUGAAGUGUCAGUUCUACCUGUUAGGGCAGGUCCGACCCUCCGCUAGCCCUCUCAAACAUACACUAUACAUCCGCUUGACUCUGCAAAAAAGAGCAGGAAGAAAAACAGACGUGGAAGGAUGCUAUUACAGCCGUUGUCAAAUGAGGUGGGCUAUCAUCAUCUCAGGAAUGACAAACUCCAGCUGCCAGAGCAGUUUCAGCAGCUUCCAAACACCAGAUCUGUCCUGAACUCAGUCCCCUAGGACAGACGAGGAAAAGCCCAGCCUGUCCUCAGCUCUCUUUGACUCGACACGUGGAGGAGUCGCUGCUCUUUUCCAGCUGGCUUUGCAGCAGGAGAAACAACAGCAUGGUGAGGAGGAUGUUUCUCAGGCCUGUAGAUAGCAUGCGUAAGUGUGAGUGGGAUGGAGUGAUGAUGUUACUGUGUACUCAUCUCUGAAGCCUUGAGCCUUUCUGUUUAUGUAGUUCAUAUCAUGAGGAGGGCACUGAAGCUAACAUUUCCCACAACCUUAAACCCCCUAGCAAGUUGCUCAAAAUACAAAGUGCAUCCUGUAUCAGUGCAGACAUACAGAGACGCCGAAUAUGAGUAGUAUUACUUAGGGCGUUUUCACACUUGGCCCGAAUACUCAAGUCCGCGUCCAGGACUGAUUCUGGGGUUGUUUGGGGGAGGCGCUCAUAAUCACAAGUUAUCUUUCAUACAGAAGAACCAGGGAUCACAAUUCCAUACAUCACUUUUGUAGACACAGGUUUGCAAAAAAUGCACUAGGUUCAAGUGUUUAUUUUUUAUUAUUAUUUUCCUUUAGUACCAAAAAUCAAGUUAAGAACGCUUUUGGAUGCAUCCAAAAAUCAUAGAAAUACCUUCAAAGAACAAGUCAUUCUCAUAUAAGAUUUUUAGCCAUGCAGACUGAAACAAGAUGUGUGUUUUUCACCAUGUUCUCAAAGAAAGCACCACAAAGAUGCCCUAAUUACAGUAACAUUAUGCUCCAUUCCUAUGUAAGUGUAUUUUAUUGUGUUUGGCCUAUAAUGAUACGUAAUAGUGAUAAUAUGGGCCACACCACACAUGGCUAGUCUACACUGCAAAACUCUGUAGCCUUAUAAACUUUAUGAGUUGUGGCCAUUUGCGAUUGAAUGUUCCAUAUAUUGAUCAUAAUAACCUUUUCUCCACCAUCGAGAAACCUGAAAUCAGAAGUAACACGAUAAGAUAAACCAAUCACAUUACUCAGUGCAUUGAGAGUGGAGAGCUUCCAUACAUGAUGUGUACCAUGCCAGAUUUAAAGCAAGUCCUAGGCCAGUGUUUUCAAAGGGAACAGGGAUUGGAUCUCUGGACCAUUUCUGGGCUCUAAAACAGCUUUCACACUCCAUCAAAUGUACUGAAAUCUCAGGGCAAGCGACCACAGUUCCGGAAAAAACUCUCAAGUGUGGAAAACGACCUAAGCGAACAGACUAUUCUGCUGUUUAAAUUAGCAUCAGUUUGACACGUGUUGGUGACAGUUCAUCAGGCAGUAAAAAUAAGGCACUUCAUCUCAUAUUCUGUUCAUGCAUAAUCUCAAUACCAAGCAGAGAUAUGUCACAUGCUACUAUCAGCUUCACAAAUAUAGGUACAUCUGUCUGCGAAAAGUGGUAAUAAACUUCCGUUUCCAAGCAAUUUAUUUAGUUGAGUUGCACUUUCCAGCGUGAAUGAUAUUUUAUAGCUGUCUCUGAGGAAAGAUUUAUCCCAUAAAAUGUUUCAGCAAACACACUGAAGGCACAGUGGCACUGAGCUCUAUAGCCCCCUGUUUAUUAUGUUUGAACACUUCAGGGAACUCAUAAUUCUCACACAAGGAGAUGAAUAUGGCAUGAGCCUUUACCAGCCGUACAUGAGAGAUUACAAAGAGAGAGAGGAGGAACAAGCAAAGAAAAUAGUUUGCCCUUCUCAUGCUCGAAAAAAAAGGAAAGAAAAAAAAAUCACUUGUGUUCUAUGAGGCAUUUUCAGGUGGUCUGUCGCUGCCUGGUUCUGUUACGCUGUUUCUGUGAUAUGAACUCCUCUGCUGAGAGGCAGAUUAAUAUGAAAAAUGCACAGAGGAGAUCCACUUCAUAACUUUCCUGGCUCUGCCAGUGUGGAUUACCCAGAGCGCCGUCUGUGUGACAAGAACUGAUGGGACCUCAGUCCUGGCUCCAACUGCUCCGGUCUGCUUUUCAUUACCCAUGAGGAGGAUGUGGGAGAAACCUUGUACCCCUACAUGAAUAUCAAGUCAAACACUUCAUCCAAGCACAACCUACUUGACAUUUCAGAGACAUUACACUUUUAUGUACCUACCAAACAUUAUUUUGUUAAGGGAGUGGGAGCAGUUACUUCAUCCUCUGUAAAAUGUGUUUAAGAUGCAGAUGUCAGUGAAACAUUCACAGGGCUGAAUCCUGACCAACUGAUGCCUGCAGAAAAGUGUUUGUGCAGGUUGCCAAAGUGUUGUCAAAGUAUUUUGACAGAUAUGGCUAGUUAAAUGCAAUACUUUAACAACAUUCAUGGUACUUCAGAAGACACCGAAAAAGCAGCCUACACACAACCACAUGUAUUUUUCCAAAAGAUGCCCAGUCACUCAAUGUGGUUUCACGCCAUCGCGUUCCACGACCUAUGAGUCCUCUAAGAGAAUUAUCACAUUAUAGCAUUCCUGCAUGCCCAAUUUCCCCCAAAAAACACAGCUCAAGGCUUUCCAAGUACCUCUUCUUAGCUCUGACUCUGGGGAGGGAUCCUAAAUAGCCUUUUCCAAUUCCCUUGUUUUCUGCACAUGCUUGUUUAAACCCUUUAUUUACAACACUCACUCUCAAGAAAUCCAAUAAAAAGCAUUCCCAAUUAUGCUGUCCUCAUAACUACAGCUCACAAAAUGACCUUCCUGCUUUGCAACACACAUCAGCAAUGCAGAGACACCAACACGAGCAAGACAGCUCAUUUUCUACCACUUCCAUUAAUACAUAGUUUUGGGGCCACUGGAGCAUGCGGGAAGGGAAAAUCAAUGCAGAAGAGAAAAGGAUUUGCAACAGGCUAUAAUAAAUGUCUCCUCGAGCUAAAGUGUGCAAAUGCUAAAUAUUUCAACACGCUGGAAAAGCAGAGCGUCAUUUUAAACCAGGAGAAUUGUGUCAAGGCAAAAAGAAAGUAUCACCAUAAUGGUUUAAAAACAAUAAAGACGCUUUCUGUUAAGCAAUCUGGGCUUCGAACUCUCUGGAUACAAUUUGAGAGUCUUGGAAAAGGUCAAAAUGUUCAAACGUUAUGGUAUUCAUAUUGUAUUAAAGAGUGCUGGAGUUUGAUGCAAACCAUGUGGUGUUCCAGCAUGUAAUGCCACAAUGUCAUGAUUGAAAAGCGGCUUCAAUCGUGGUCACACUCAAUUUUAAUGUGAUUCAAAGCUCUCAAAAGUUCACAGAAACCUCUAAAUUGUAUGAUUAACCAUUUCACUGACACACACAAAGGAGCCAUGUAUAAGCCUUUGAGUAAAUCUGCUGCUGUAACAGACACAUUAGGCCAGGGCUUCCCAAACUUUUUUGGGUAAACGACCCCAAAUGGACAUUAUGAAUUUUCUGUGACCCCAAGCCUUGACCACCCUAAAUUUUUUCUCCAGAUUUAGAAUUUAUGACUACUAUAACAUGUGAACAUUUUAUUAUGUCAGUAACAUAUGUGUUACCUAAGUGACUAAACAUCAAAGGAAUAUUAAUUGCACUGGCUUUCCUGUCUACUGCGAAGGGUGAGAAUGCAUUUCUUGGCACAGCUUUUCGAGCGAUACAUAAGAAAUAAAACACGACAGGGUGUGUUGUUAUAGGAAAAUAAUCCACACCAGGGGUGGUGGGAUAUGGCCCCGAUGUGAAGCAGAGGGGUCUGGUUUAUACUUAACACUUGACUUUGCAUGCAUGUGCAGAAGCAGGCACUCUUGUUCAGGCACUCACCUGCCUAUUAUUUACAUCAAAGCGAAAACAUUCCUGUCUAUCAGGUUUCCAAGUUGAACUCUAAAAUGUUUAGUGAUUUCUAUUCUAUUAAAACUUUCCCCUGUCGUCCUGACUGUUGUCAUACUCUCAUCUCAAAUUAGAAACUCUGAUCUUAAGGAUUUAUGAAGGAUUUAUGAAUCUAGAAAAUCCAGAAGACUGGUAUGCAGAACAGACCUUUCAGUAGGUUCAAGGGCUACAUUAGAGGUUUUUAAAAUUCAAACACUAGCUGUAAGCGGAAAACUGGUUAGCGUUAGUACUCAUUAAUGAUCUAAAAUUGUACAUAAGUACGCAAUUGGGGACACAAUGCUAAUCUGUUUAGCAGAGGUACCUGGACAGGAAAAUAUUCUAUCCAUUUCUAUUGCUAAACUCCAAAUACUAGUGCAGCAUGUCAGGAUAGUGAAACGACUAAAAUAGUAUGUACACUCUUCAUUUAAUAUAGUAGCACACAAAAUUCAUCUUCAUCGACCGGGCAAUAUUUCUAAUAAUUAUUUGAAAAAUGAAUGAAUAUAACAAAAAAAAGUGGUAUCCCUAGUUUGGGAACCUUUGCAUUAGGCCAUGCUUUGGGCCAUAGAGUUGUGCUCCAGCCAUUUUUAUACAACAGAAAAUGAUCCAAAUGCUUUCUAAAAAAAAAAAAAUAUCAGUUUAACCCUAUUCACUGUGCUAGUUACUGAGGGUGGUGUUUGUAAUAAAUUCCUCUGUGAUAAAACUCUCACAUUCAGACAGCAAUAGAAAGCUACUAGAAACUUGCUUAUGCCAUUUUAAUUUAUAUGUAAAUUAACAGGGUAUGAGCAAAUUUCCAGCAGGUUAUUUUUCCUGUUUGCAUCACAGCAAUACGAUCACAUUGUCAUGAAUUUCACAAUCAUGAAAUCAUUAUAAUAAAAAUACAGUAAUGAUGGUGUGCUAUACAAAAAUAAAAUAAGGCUUUAUAUCAUUUGUAACUGUCAUUAUAAUAAAUGUAAUCAGCCUGCAGAAUUACAUUUUUAAUUGGUGUGCUUCCUAUUUUCUUCCAACAGGCUCCCAGUGAAGACACGAUGCAGGUGACGUUAACCAUAGAAGGCUUCCACAGCAUCCGUCAUUUUCUGAUUACUUAUUACGACGUUUUGUGGAUUUAAAUGCAGGUUUAAUGGAAGUGUAUCUUUUCUGUGACACAUGAUAUCAAUGAGAAAAAAGCUUCAGAAAUGCCUUUUUUUUUUUUUUUGCAUCAUCAUCAUGGUUGUUCCCAGCAGUUUUCAAAACAAAAAGCCGUGCCCAUGCACUAGGUGCACAUUAAACAUACUUUAAUUUCAUUAUACAGAAAGGACAAUGCUUUCAAAAGAAUAUGUAACAUGAGUUGCAGAAUGUGGUCUGGCCUGCGUCUUUUUCAUUUUCCACAUAACCUAUUAAACUACAUUUUCAGUUGCCAAAAUAUACGGAGUGAAAAAGCAGCAUUUAUUAUAUUACAAAAAUAAAAGUUUGCAAUAAUGUUCCAGAUUUAUGCUUAUUUAUGCUUCAUUUCUAAAUAAGACUUCAACUGCUCUACAGCUACAGCUCUUCUACCCUGUGCACUGCACUGAAGAUGAAUGGGAAAUUUGUGAAAAUGAAAGUGCUAAUUACAGGCUGUUGUAACAUGGUUAAAACCAGCGUGUCUUUCAAUGUAAGACACCCCGCUGGAUGGAACAUAAAAGCAAACACAAAUAACUAAUUACGCCAUCAUCUUCAGGCGGCUGUGCUCGGUGCUAGCUUGUCUCCGGUGCUUGUUAAUUGGUGACCUGCACUAUUGGUCAGCAGACAAUCGGCACGAUGAUGAAGCCAAUUAGAGUUGGGGAGUACACAUGGCCCACAGAGCUUGUUGUGGCUGCCACAUCAUGUCUUAUCUAAUUCAAAACAAACGCUGAGGUAGAGCUGGCAUGACAGUUGUAGCGGGCACGAGCACGGGACUCUCUGACGUGGCCAACUUUCUCAAUCUGCCUCUCAAAAUGGACCUCACAAAGGCACCUAUUGUGCAGAGGAGUGCGCCUUCAGAGCAUUAAAGCAGAGUUUAAUCCACUUAAGUGCAGGGCAGAGUGGAGAGACCUGACGUAGUUUUCUUAUAUAUCUGCUUUUCCUUAGGUGUGUUGUGAAAAUGGCUUUAAACAAAAACAUGGAUUGCUCCAAGUAGAUUUACUACUUUGUUGUGUUUCAAGUGUAUUGCUUUUUAUUUAUUUGAUUGUGAGGCUCCGACAACACAUAUUUCAUAAGUUGAAAAUCCACUCUGUGUGUCCAGGAGUGGUUUAGUUUAUUCCAGUGGAAUAGUUACAGAACACAUCACUCCCUAAUUUCUGACUAACCAACUCUAAACACGCCAGAAUCAGGCUCACUCAUCACAGUGAUUUGCUUUUCUCUUUCGCGACUUUAAUGUUGAAUAAAAUAAGCGACUUCAACAUCUUGAAACCAGACAAUAACUGCUUGCCCUACUGUGAUGAUGAAUGAUCUGUUCCUUUUGCACUUUAGGAAAUCCCGUGUUGACUCACAAGAGCAGCUCCUAUCAGGAGACCGCUUUGUUCUUGCCAAAGCUACCACCAUAUUUACUUCUCAAAUCCAGCAUGGAGCUCUGGGGAUGGUGCUGCGAUAAAGCCGAAACCACAACAUAAAUAUUUUAAGACUGCACAAUUACAUGGAAUGAAAUCUUAGUGAAGUUCUUCAUUUAUAUGAUAAGAGAAGAGGGGGACCUAAGAUUAGAACUAAAGGAAAUAAGAUUAGAAAAUUGUUUUUGAAUAGUACAAAUAUCUGAAAAACAAGUAUGUGGGAAAUAAUUGUGUGUGUAAAGCGACUGGGAGUGUGAUGAUGUCCAGUGUAUCCAGUCUGAGGCCUACAUGUGGUGUUGAAAGAGAACAGGAUAGGAGAAGCAUGUCUUUAACAAAGCAGAAGCCAUUAUGGUAGAGCAGUGUGUAUAUUAAAGAAGAAGUCCACUCCAAAAAACAAAAUAUGUUUAUAUUGAAAUAUUUGUGAUAUGGUCAUGAUUCUGGUACUAACUUGUUGGUUCAUGCUGUAUUUUAUUUUUUAGCACGAAAUUAGGGGGACAUUACUAGCGCAGGUACAAUGCUGUUUAAUAGGGGAAAAAUUUCAGCUCAACACAAACAAAUGAUAACCGUUAGGUUUAACUGUUAGAGCCUAAAAACAAAAGAGCAAAAGCUUCUUUUCUCACUCACCAUUUUGCAGUAGCAUUUAAUGUCAGAUUAAUGAGAAAUCUAAUGUAGAGUUAGUGGAGAUGGCAAAUGUUGGACUCCAGAAAGCAAUGCAGCUACACAAAAUUGCUCUGAGUUACAGUAGAGACUGUAUAGGAUUUGGCUCGGCUAGGUAGCGAUCUAUGAGGUGACAAGCAAAAAGGCACUGAUGUUGGUAUGAAAGCUGAAGGUUUGGAAUUCUAUCUGUCUGAGGCAAAGCCAACUCAGAAUUCCAUUGCAAGACAAAUCAUAGAUGUCACUGAAGAUUAAAUAUUAAUUUUAAAGAUUAGAUUGGAUAGGAUGUUUUCUUUAAAAUGGAGUGAUUGCGCUUUCUUUCACUCACCCAAACAGACAAACAGACAGAAAGGCAGACAGAGAGAGCGCUAUGUAAGAGGAACCACUAGUAACUGUUUGGAGUUUAAAAGAUUAUUGUGCACAGUCUUCCUAAUAAUUACACACUGAUGCAAAACUGCAGUGAUCUUCCGGCUGUUUAGAUGUAACCUUCACAAUGUAAUUAAUUUUGUACAUCUAAUACUGCCCUAAGGCACAGGAUCAGCAUCAUGGGUGUUCUGUUAUUGUAAUGAAAAUGAAAAUAAGUAG